GAGAAUUUGUCUGUCCUGAAUUGCUGGGAAGGAGCUUUUAAAUCAUUAGUAUUUCACAAAUGAUAUUUGUGUCUUCGUUAUCACGGUGGAGACUUCAGACCAUGCCUGGGUUUAUACUAAUAAGGAAGAUAGAGUAUGAUCACAUUAGAAAGACCAAGCAUGUGAUUGGAGAGUUAGAGAUUGAGCCACUCGAUCUCAGACCAGCCUCCUUCAGGAAGGGGAAGUGGGCUGGAGACUUGACUGCAAUCUCAGGGCCAAUAAUUUAAUAAAUUAUGCAUAUUAAGUGAGACCUCAAUAAAAACUCCAAACGCCAAGGCUCUGGUGAACCUCCCAGUUGGUAAACACAUCUAUGUGCUAGAAAGGUGACAUGUUCAUGUUCCACAGGAAGAGGAAAAGGAAGGUCCAUGUUGGGGACCCUCCUAGACCUCACCCUAUGCAUCUCUUCAUUUGGCUGGUCCUGAUUUAUAUCUUUUCUGACAAAAGUGCAAUUGUGAGUUAGCAUUUUCUUGAGUUCUGGGAGUUGUCCUAGCAAAUUAUGAAAUCUGAAAUGGUCAUGGGAACCCCUGCAUUUGUAGUCAUUUAAUCAGAAGUGCAGUUGGCCUGGGGACCCUCGAAUUUCUGGCUGGCAUCUUAAGUAGGACAGCCUUAAUGGGGUCUGUGGCCUUAACCUGUGGAAUCUGUGCUGAUUCCAGGUGGUUACUGCCAGAAAUGUAUAGCAGUAGUUUGUAUAUCUGACUUCACUUUGGAAAGACAUCAGUUUUAGACACAAAAACUCAGUAAAUGCUACACUGGGUUAUUGAAAAACCUGUGAUGACCUCCUACCUCAUUGCCUGUUGUUCCAAAUAGGAGUAAAACCCUGGCCUCUCUGCCCGGCAACAAAGCCUGCCAUUAACCAAAGUCAUGUAUCUUUGAUGCCAAAAUACGACAGUAUAAGAAAGAGGCAUUAUUAGUCCUCUGCCCAGAUCUUCUUAGAUCUCUGUUCAGGUUCUGUUUCUCUUCUAUUUUCUUUGAGAUUUGGUUUCAAAAGAGCCAUGUACCUGCAACUCUUUCUGGAGAACUUCUCCAGGGUGACUGGAGCUGCUUCACCCAGGCUCAGAAAACCAACAGUGUCUGGUUUCUUGGGUCCCCUGGGAGUAAUACUUAACCAACGAUUGAAGCUGUGGAAAUAUGAACGCCCAGCUUCCUUGCUUUGAAUUGCGAUAAACCCUAAGGUAUAAUUUACACUCCAGUCGACUGAGCUCAGGACUCUGCCUGAAAUUAUACCCUUACUUGGCUUUUCUCCUUCUCUGUCCCGCUCCCCCACUCCUUUUCUGGAUUCUCCUAGGAAUACUUCCUUAAUAAAUCACUAGCCCACAAAUCCUUGACUCAAGGUCCACUUCAGGGGAACCUAACCUAAAACAGUUCCCAAUUAUUCACUAGCCAGCAGGUCGCCAUGUGACUGGCAGUGCUGGAGAGGAGGAGGGAUCUACUUCUCAGCCCUCAUUAUAGAGUCAAACUUGGCCAUGUGAUUUGCUUUGACCAAUGGAAUUCAAGAAGAAAUAAUGCUUGCCAUACAUUAUUGACUCAGACUUAUCACCUGGUACUGGGAACUGCUCUUUGGGGGAAGGGCUAUGAUAGGGUCUGCUCCUUCAGCCUGGACCCCAGAACAAGACAUAUCAUGCAGAGCCAUGGCUGACAAACAGGCAAGAAAAAAACCUUUAUUAUUAUAAGACGUGGAGAAUUGGGGGUUGUUACUGCAGUGUACCCUAACAGAUUUAAUAUAGGCGAUAUUUAAUGUAGUGUAGCAAAGCUAAGAGAAGAUGCCCUGGCAUGAGCCUGGGGUCAAAGUCAAACUCUACUACUUGCUACCUCUAUAACCUUGAUCAAUGACUGAGGCUUUCUGAGCCUCUGUUUCUCCAUUUUCAGGAUGAGGAUAUUAAUGAUGCCUACCUCAUAAGAACAUUGUGGAAAUCAAAUGAGACAGCAUAUACAGAGUGCUUCAAACAGUGCCCGACAUGGUAAAUGUUUAAUAAAUAUUAACUGAAGUGAACUGUAAUUAUGAACUACCAUCAAUCAUCUCCAAGUUUUCAACGUUUUCUCCUAUGAUCACUGAACUUGCUGGUUGCCUCUUGAGACAGAACAUUCCUGUCUUCUCAACCUUCAUAUGUUGAAAUCUUAAGCCCCAAAGUGAUAGGAGGUGGGGCUUUUGGGAGGUGACUAGGUCAUGAGCCUUCAGGAAUGGAACUAGUGCCCUCAUAAAAUGGGCCACAAGACAGCUCUCUCUUUCUACCAUAGGAAGAUACAACAAGAAGACUGCAAAUUGGGAGUCCUCACCAGAACCUAACCAUGCUGGCACACUGAUCACAGACUUCUAGUCUCCAGAACUGGGGAAAAUAAAAUGUUGUCUGUAACCCACCCAUCUAUGGCUCUCAGUUAUAGCCCAAAGUGAUCAAGAUGCCUCCCUAGCAACCAUUCCACUCUUCCCAUAAGGUUCAGGUUCUAUUUGGGGAUCUAUAUAGUUCUGGGGGAAACGAGUUCAUGGACUUCAUAUGGCCUACUCAAAAGAUAUGAUUACACCUUUUUUUUUUUUUUUUUGUACAAGGGAUUUAACUCAGAGAUACUUGACCACUGAGUCACAUCCAUAGCCCUUUUUAAUUCUGAGACAGGAUCUCACUAAGUUGUUAGGGUCUCUCUCAAUUGCUGAGGCUGGCUUUGAACCGUGGUCUCUCCAAGUCCAGAUUACAACAAAUAUAAAC
This 2735-nucleotide long non-coding RNA is filed under the name Marmota monax (woodchuck). Lineage: Eukaryota; Metazoa; Chordata; Mammalia; Rodentia; Sciuridae. The record is from RNAcentral.